Cinara cedri is the source of this 265-nucleotide non-coding RNA. Lineage: Eukaryota; Metazoa; Arthropoda; Insecta; Hemiptera; Aphididae. The record is from the annotation of a GenBank genome assembly.
AACCAGCUGUUUUCCUCUAAUUAUCUCGAAUAUUAACGAGAAUUUCGAAAAAAUGACCUUUUUAAAGUAUCACCCAGAGGACAUUUCCUUUCAGAAAACGUUCUAUACUUGAUAAUCGGUGUAAGCUUCCUCGUAGAAAAAGUGUUCGCUUAACAAAAGUGCACGAAGCAUUUAACAAUACACUUAAUACGAUUUGACGUUUUUCGUAUACAUAGCUAGGUAUCUCAAUUGAGUCGGAAAAUAUUAUUUCAUUUUAUUUUUUUUA